Molecule: non-coding RNA, 118 nt
Organism: Drosophila melanogaster (fruit fly)
Lineage: Eukaryota; Metazoa; Arthropoda; Insecta; Diptera; Drosophilidae
Source: Ensembl
GUGCGCCGGUGUGCGUGUGUGAGAGGCCAUCGUAAAAGCCUUGUUUGCGUGCGGAAUUUAACUGUUUUCUCGCCGUCUGCGAAUUGCGGGGCACUCACACACGCAUAUUCAGCCGCAC